Molecule: long non-coding RNA, 1982 nt
Organism: Panthera uncia (snow leopard)
Lineage: Eukaryota; Metazoa; Chordata; Mammalia; Carnivora; Felidae
Exons: 2
Source: RefSeq, a predicted model, not a curated record
AAAACGCGGGGCCCCGGGGGCCGCGCUCUCUUCCCCCUGGGAGCCCGCGCUCAGCGUGUCCUGCCUGAAUGUGAGCUCGGCGGGGCUGCGUCGUUACGAGCUGUUGCGGUGGGAUUUCAGUCUGGCUCCCACUGGGGCAGCUCAUCCCCCCGGUAACGGUGGGACCCAGGCUCUUCCAUCAGUUGGUGGAGGUUUGUCGACAGACCCGCGUGUCCCGGGUGCGAGGGGUGGACGAGGCUCCGAGAAAGGCCGCUGAGGUCAUGGGACAGGUGGAGAGGCCGCCCGAAGAGGAGGGAAGCAAACAUUUAUCAGGCGCCCAGGAGGCCAGACGUUGGCCAAGGAGCACCCGGAGGUUCAAGUCCUGUGACCUUGGCUGGGACGCAGCAGGGAGUCGCUGCCCCUCCCCGUCGUGCGGAGGGGAAACGGAAGCCUUGGAGAGGGCGCGACAGCCCGUGUUUGGAGCCGGACUCCCUCCCCCGACGCGUAGACUCUCCAUUCUCAGUGCUUGUCCAAGAAAGUUCGGUUUUGCUUAGAAAAACCCAGUGUUCCCCAUCAGUAAGUGACCUUCUGUCAGUCAUGCUGGGGUCCCGUGGUGUCCCCUCCCUUGUGGUCAUGCGGGAGUCCUCCCGUGCCUCUACCCUUCCACUCCCGCAGGCCAUCCCCCCCCCCCCCAUUCAGUCAGAGAACGAGGCAGGAGAAGGGUCCCCCCUCCCUUUCGGAAGGUUCCAGAUAGACCCAGCCAGCAGGAGCGCAGGCUCAUCUGCCCACUUUCCGUCAGCCAGACGCAGUACCCUGGGCUGGCCUGCCAGGUGGGGAGUGGAGAAUGAGGCCACCCACACGCGGCGAUCGGGGUCACACGCCCAACCCCCUCAGCCUGACACCCCACCCACGCUUUCUCUCAGGCUUAAGUUCCGAAGCCCAGGGUCCUCCCCUGUGGAGCAGCGAAAAUUCGAGAAGGAGCAUGAGAACGCCCAUGGCUGAGGUCUACGAACCACUAACUCCAGGCAGGUGCCUGGGAGGACGGCUGGCGGCUUACCUCUCCUAGGGGUCAGGGACCGGGAGCCUCCCCCAGCAGGCCUGCCCCCCACCUCCCAGGGGGCGCGUGGAGCCCGGCAGAGGGGACAGCAAUGGGGUCUCCCUCCCUCCCGGUCCUCCCUCCACAUCUGAUCUCCCGCAAAUCGGGCAAUUUCCUGAAGCACCGUGGAAAAACCGCCAGGGCGGCAGGUGAGAGCCUGUUUUUCACUAACUCGGCCGGAAACCCCAAGUAGGAAAGCACAGAAACCGCGUGCUGUCCCUGAACAACGGACAGCUACUUGAAGGUGGCUUUCCAAACCAAACGAGGCCGUGUCCCGAGCGGCCCCCUUGGGUCUUGGAGCACAAACGGCCGGGGUUCCCGUUAGGCCUUGCGCACGAUGGCUGGGGAGCCGUCAGCUCUGCAGGGACGGCCUUCGAAGCAGCCAGGUGCAUAUCGAAGAUUCCAGUUCGUGUGUGGCUUCCUGGCUCAUUGGGACAAAAAACAGGGAUCUCUCUCCCCGGAGCCCCCACUAACUGUCCACCGAUGUGGUGCACUGAUGGGGACUGAGGCGCCGUCCGCCCCUCCUUGCUGUGUCCCCAGUCACCUGUGCAGAGGCAGAGAGGGCCUGGGCGGCUUCCAGACCGCGGGUCAGUGUGUGCACGAUCCAACACGAGUCUCCCUAGAGCCGAUUGGAGCUGCGUGAGGCAUCAGAGGAGACAAGUAAACAAAAAAUCCUCGAGGCCAUAGGCCGAGCACUGCCCACCUCGGCAGCGUGGACCGGGAGAGCGCCGACCUUGAAGGUGCACAUCGGCCCCUCCCUCCGCCCAAACGCCCACGGACAGGACAGGAGCCCUUUCCUCCUGCCUGAGAACCGCGCGUUUGAUCCCGCGCUUGGCUCAAAAGGAACCAUUAUUUCAGACUCAACAAGUCUGGGCCCAGCUUAUUAACAUGCCGUUUGUGUUGUGAA